AUGCGUGCCAAGAUGAAUGUUCGGCUUCCAAAGACCGUCAACGAACUCUACAUGUUGGCAGACAAGUGUGCUCAUGCCGAAGAGGGAAGAAGACUUCCCGAGGAAGAGGUUGGUGUCGAAGUCGAUUUGGAAGACGACGACAACGCUGCCACCCCUAGGAAGAGGAAUAGAAAGCACAGCAAGAAGUGUAAAGGGAAAGCAGUGAUGGCCGUUGAGAGCUCCUGUGACCUUAGCACCAGCAAGAAGGCAAAGACCGAGGCACCCGGCAAGGAAGCUGCUACUUGCAUUGACUGUCGGGCAGCUACGACGGCUGAGAAAACUGGUAAAUCCGACGGGCCAUACUGCAAGAUCCACAGGACCAAGGGCCAUGAUCUCCAAGAUUGUAAACAAGUCGAACAACUGGUGGAAAGGUAG
Molecule: ribosomal RNA, 414 nt
Filed under: Triticum aestivum (bread wheat)
Lineage: Eukaryota; Viridiplantae; Streptophyta; Magnoliopsida; Poales; Poaceae
Description: partial small subunit ribosomal RNA
Source: RNAcentral